Molecule: ribosomal RNA, 2201 nt
Filed under: Citrobacter koseri
Lineage: Bacteria; Pseudomonadati; Pseudomonadota; Gammaproteobacteria; Enterobacterales; Enterobacteriaceae
Description: partial 23S ribosomal RNA
Rfam family: Bacterial large subunit ribosomal RNA
Source: RNAcentral
GCAGGUUGAAGGUUGGGUAACACUAACUGGAGGACCGAACCGACUAAUGUUGAAAAAUUAGCGGAUGACCUGUGGCUGGGGGUGAAAGGCCAAUCAAACCGGGAGAUAGCUGGUUCUCCCCGAAAGCUAUUUAGGUAGCGCCUCGUGAACUCAUCUCCGGGGGUAGAGCACUGUUUCGGCUAGGGGGCCAUCCCGGCUUACCAACCCGAUGCAAACUGCGAAUACCGGAGAAUGUUAUCACGGGAGACACACGGCGGGUGCUAACGUCCGUCGUGAAGAGGGAAACAACCCAGACCGCCAGCUAAGGUCCCAAAGUCAUGGUUAAGUGGGAAACGAUGUGGGAAGGCCCAGACAGCCAGGAUGUUGGCUUAGAAGCAGCCAUCAUUUAAAGAAAGCGUAAUAGCUCACUGGUCGAGUCGGCCUGCGCGGAAGAUGUAACGGGGCUAAACCAUGCACCGAAGCUGCGGCAGCGACACUAUGUGUUGUUGGGUAGGGGAGCGUUCUGUAAGCCGUUGAAGGUGUGCUGUGAGGCAUGCUGGAGGUAUCAGAAGUGCGAAUGCUGACAUAAGUAACGAUAAAGCGGGUGAAAAGCCCGCUCGCCGGAAGACCAAGGGUUCCUGUCCAACGUUAAUCGGGGCAGGGUGAGUCGACCCCUAAGGCGAGGCCGAAAGGCGUAGUCGAUGGGAAACAGGUUAAUAUUCCUGUACUUGGUGUUACUGCGAAGGGGGGACGGAGAAGGCUAUGUCGGCCGGGCGACGGUUGUCCCGGUUUAAGCGUGUAGGUGUGUGCUCCAGGCAAAUCCGGUGCACUUUAACACUGAGGCGUGAUGACGAGGCACUACGGUGCUGAAGUGACAAAUGCCCUGCUUCCAGGAAAAGCCUCUAAGCAUCAGGUAACACGAAAUCGUACCCCAAACCGACACAGGUGGUCAGGUAGAGAAUACCAAGGCGCUUGAGAGAACUCGGGUGAAGGAACUAGGCAAAAUGGUGCCGUAACUUCGGGAGAAGGCACGCUGAUAUGUAGGUGAAGUGGUUUACCCAUGGAGCUGAAAUCAGUCGAAGAUACCAGCUGGCUGCAACUGUUUAUUAAAAACACAGCACUGUGCAAACACGAAAGUGGACGUAUACGGUGUGACGCCUGCCCGGUGCCGGAAGGUUAAUUGAUGGGGUUAUCCUCGCGGAGAAGCUCUUGAUCGAAGCCCCGGUAAACGGCGGCCGUAACUAUAACGGUCCUAAGGUAGCGAAAUUCCUUGUCGGGUAAGUUCCGACCUGCACGAAUGGCGUAAUGAUGGCCAGGCUGUCUCCACCCGAGACUCAGUGAAAUUGAACUCGCUGUGAAGAUGCAGUGUACCCGCGGCAAGACGGAAAGACCCCGUGAACCUUUACUAUAGCUUGACACUGAACACUGGUCCUUGAUGUGUAGGAUAGGUGGGAGGCUUUGAAGUGUGGACGCCAGUCUGCAUGGAGCCGCCCUUGAAAUACCACCCUUUAAUGGCUGGUGUUCUAACGUGGGCCCGUAAUCCGGGUUGCGGACAGUGUCUGGUGGGUAGUUUGACUGGGGCGGUCUCCUCCUAAAGAGUAACGGAGGAGCACGAAGGUCAGCUAAUCCUGGUCGGACAUCAGGAGGUUAGUGCAAUGGCAUAAGCUGGCUUGACUGCGAGCGUGACGGCGCGAGCAGGUGCGAAAGCAGGUCAUAGUGAUCCGGUGGUUCUGAAUGGAAGGGCCAUCGCUCAACGGAUAAAAGGUACUCCGGGGAUAACAGGCUGAUACCGCCCAAGAGUUCAUAUCGACGGCGGUGUUUGGCACCUCGAUGUCGGCUCAUCACAUCCUGGGGCUGAAGUAGGUCCCAAGGGUAUGGCUGUUCGCCAUUUAAAGUGGUACGCGAGCUGGGUUUAGAACGUCGUGAGACAGUUCGGUCCCUAUCUGCCGUGGGCGCUGGAGAACUGAGGGGGGCUGCUCCUAGUACGAGAGGACCGGAGUGGACGCAUCACUGGUGUUCGGGUUGUCAUGCCAAUGGCACUGCCCGGUAGCUAAAUGCGGAAGAGAUAAGUGCUGAAAGCAUCUAAGCACGAAACUUGCCCCGAGAUGAGUUCUCCCUGACUCCUUGAGAGUCCUGAAGGAACGUUGAAGACGACGACGUUGAUAGGCCGGGUGUGUAAGCGCAGCGAUGCGUUGAGCUAACCGGUACUAAUGAACCGUGAG